GUGUAUUCUAGGGGGAGGGAGAGUCUGGUCUACCAACAUGAAGAUUGUCACGAUCAUGGGCACGCACAAUCUACACCGGCCUGGUAGCCCAAAUCGUACGAAAAAAAACUGCUUUCUCUCCCAUUUGAUGUUUUUGACUCUUGUGGCACAUUCCCAGACCUGUAGCAGAAGUUGUAGGAGAGGGUUACUGGAGAAAGCAAGGCGUCUCCAAGUCUAUCGGUUUUUUCGCCGCUUUGCAAGAGGAGCGCGAGUUACAUGAUGCACUCUGUGUGUUUUAAGUGUUUGUAGCAGUUUUGUUGUAAGGCAACUUUUGCACAACAUUAAGUGUGAGAACAUCGGCCCACAUAGUAUGAGGGCUCUAUGUGAUGGUUUCUUUGUCGGCAGUGUAGGGAAAGCCCGACUUGACAGGUAAUGUGAUGUGCCAGUUAUUGAGACAUGGAAUAUUAAUGCAAGAAGAAAGUGCUAGAUGUGCCCAUGUUAGUGAAAUUAAGAUGCCCAAACUUGUGCCUUACCGUUACGGUGCUUCAGUGUUUGUCAUGUUUUUCCUCAUUCAGACUUUUUUUUUUUCACAUGCGAGGUAGUGAAAGUUGUAAAAGGAAGUCAUUCAUUGUGUUUCCAUGCCACAAUUGUAGUAGAGUGCAUUUUAGCGUUCCUUCCUAAAGACAGGAAGGGGGAGGGGGUGCAGUGCAUAGCACUUGUCUUUCCUUGAAGUCGUGAGAUUAACGGCAUCUUUUCCUUUUGGUAAUGGCUAACAUUGAAACUGGAGUAGGGUCACAGCUAGUAGUGGAAGCUAAUAAAAAUUUGGAGAUUUAAGAUUGCUGGAAAAGCAGGCCUGCUUAUUUCUGGGGCAAAGCACUGCUUGAAGACUGGAAGCUGAGCAUUGCACAGCCAUGACUCAGAGCAGCGAACAAGUAAACCUAAGGGAACCAAUUGUCAACUACUACUAGUGCGAAAAAAAUUUACAUAAAACAAGCAAAAUUUUUGUAUUAUGUAUGCUACCAAUUUCUGGUUUAAAGUGUAGUUGUUUAAUGAAGUCUUACAAUAGCUUCAGUAAUUUACUAAUUUAGCUUUGCACAAGGCCUGCUCUUCAUAUUGGAGGUUAGUGCAAAAAGAACAUAGAAACCUGCAAAGGCCAGUAUUUGACCCUAAGUAGCUUUAACAUUCUUUUUUCAACUUUGAAGGGGAAAAGUAGCCGGUGCUACACCUACCACAUACAUCUGCUGAUAAAAUAUUCACCUGCAGGUUCUCAUGCGAAGUUUAAGUUGCUGUGCGCACUUGAAUACUAAUGAAGUCUUGCACACAAGGAGCAGUGUUUACUCCUAUAUGAAGUUCAAGAUUAAAGUUACUUGUUAGAUUGUA
RNAcentral lists this long non-coding RNA (1359 nucleotides) under Dermacentor andersoni. RNAcentral's name for it is "uncharacterized LOC126530052". Lineage: Eukaryota; Metazoa; Arthropoda; Arachnida; Ixodida; Ixodidae. The record is from RNAcentral.